Molecule: small nuclear RNA, 106 nt
Organism: Nycticebus coucang (slow loris)
Lineage: Eukaryota; Metazoa; Chordata; Mammalia; Primates; Lorisidae
Source: RefSeq, a predicted model, not a curated record
GUGCUUGCUUUGGCAGUACAUAUACUAAAAUUGGAAUGGUAGGAGAAGAUUACCAUGGCCCCUGCUCAAGGAUGGCACAAAAUUUCAUGAAGGUUCCAUAUUUUUU